GCCCUAGUGGCUCAGCUUGGUAGAGCGUCUGAUGAAAACAGAAGGUCGCAGGUUCAAAUCCUGCCUAGGGCU
This 72-nucleotide transfer RNA is filed under the name Candidatus Micrarchaeota archaeon RBG_16_36_9. Its description in RNAcentral is "tRNA-Phe". It matches the Rfam family "tRNA". From Rfam's summary of the family: Transfer RNA (tRNA) molecules are approximately 80 nucleotides in length. Their secondary structure includes four short double-helical elements and three loops (D, anti-codon, and T loops). The record is from RNAcentral. Lineage: Archaea; Nanobdellati; Microcaldota.